RNAcentral lists this ribosomal RNA (497 nucleotides) under uncultured bacterium. RNAcentral's name for it is "partial 16S ribosomal RNA". It matches the Rfam family "Bacterial small subunit ribosomal RNA", at positions 28 to 507 of the family's 1533-position model. The record is from RNAcentral.
GAUGAACGCCGGCGGCGUGCCUAAUACAUGCCAGUCGAGCGAACGGACGAGAAGCUUGCUUCUCUGAUGUUAGCGGCGGACGGGUGAGUAACACGUGGAUAACCUACCUAUAAGACUGGGAUAACUUCGGGAAACCGGAGCUAAUACCGGAUAAUAUUUUGAACCGCAUGGUUCAAAAGUGAAAGACGGUCUUGCUGUCACUUAUAGAUGGAUCCGCGCUGCAUUAGCUAGUUGGUAAGGUAACGGCUUACCAAGGCAACGAUGCAUAGCCGACCUGAGAGGGUGAUCGGCCACACUGGAACUGAGACACGGUCCAGACUCCUACGGGAGGCAGCAGUAGGGAAUCUUCCGCAAUGGGCGAAAGCCUGACGGAGCAACGCCGCGUGAGUGAUGAAGGUCUUCGGAUCGUAAAACUCUGUUAUUAGGGAAGAACAUAUGUGUAAGUAACUGUGCACAUCUUGACGGUACCUAAUCAGAAAGCCACGGCUAACUACGUG